This 107-nucleotide small nuclear RNA is filed under the name Neogale vison (American mink). The record is from RNAcentral. Lineage: Eukaryota; Metazoa; Chordata; Mammalia; Carnivora; Mustelidae.
GUGCUCACUUUGGCAGCACAUAUACUAAAACUGGAAGGCUACAGAGAAGAUUAGCAUGGGCCCUGCACAAGGAUGACACGCAAAUUUGUGAAGUGUUCCAUAUUUUU